UUUAGCUCUGCGUGUCUUAGCAGGGCUCCAUCUCUCCUGCCACCAAGCUGGCUCCAGACAGAGGCCAGUUGGGUCCUUCGGCAGCGAGGCCCUCCGAUCCUGGGCCAAAGACUGGAGAGCACCUACCAUGGGAUGUACCAGGAAGUGCCACUGGUGACGCUAUAUCUCCUUGGCACUCCCCUGCCAAGCUGGAAUUUAAAGUGCUGACAAGCUAUCUAUACCCUGUUUUUAAGAAAUAGACACCAAGUUGCAAACUAUUGUCAAGUUAAUUCUCAUUUUUUCAAAUAUCACCACUGCCCUUUACUUGCUUUGUGAACUCAGGCAGUGUUAACAAUCUCUCUCCCUCAGUUUCCUCGUCUUUAAAAUAAGGAUGCUAAAAAUCACCUAUCCCUUAGGGUCGUUGUGUCAAAUAAAUGUGAAACACUUGCAAGCAGCAGAAUCCAACUCUGGACAACUUCACCGAUGAGAUAGCUCCCAGACUCAAGAGAAAAAAAUGGAAGCUCAGGCUCCAGAAAAGCUCAAGCUUCAUCUUUCCAAGAGAGAGAGGCUGAUUGGUGUAGCGUAGGUCACACACGCAGCCUCCUUACCAGUGGAGGGCACAGAACUGGAUUCACACAAGCACCUUACUCAGCAAAUUAAGUCACUAUCAGCCCAAAAGGCUUCAGGCUGGACAUGAACAGGCGAUGAGCCAGUACCCCCUGCACGGAGCCACUCCCCUCAUGACUUACCUUCUCCAGGUAGGAGUUUAAGACACUAUUUCCAGCAAGGAUUGGCCUUCUAAGCAGGAGGUGUGGCUGCUACAUCAUGAUAUAUUCCAAUCACAAAAGCCAGACAGAGCCCCUCGACCCUAAACAUCAGCCUGGUGCCUAUCAUUCUGCCAUUAAAAUGUCGUUUUUCCACUUUCUGAGAUUCCUUUACAAAAUGACAGAGGUCCCACCUGGUCAGCAAAUACUUUACCUUUGCAAACAUUUGCUCUCCUUGAGCUGAGAACCAAAAUAGGACACAGGCUGGGUACCUGACUGGAAGCAGAACACCCGACUAGGACAAGACCCAGAAGGGAGGAAAGGAGGACUGAGAAGUGACUGGGGACACACACUAGUGACAAAUAUUGAGACAGCUACUCAGUGGACCAGGGUCAGCCAGCAUUGGCCCCACAUUGAGCUGUGGGACCAUUCAGCUAAGUGAUGUGACAUCACCCUACUCUCUGUCUGCCAAGCUCUUGACAUCUGCAUUCAGAGCCAGGAUUAUGCUGGCCCCAGACGUUGGCUAAGUUCCGGAAGUCUCCAGACACUGCACACCACCAUGUCAAUCCCUAUUUUCCUCCUUUUCUUUCCACCGUUCUAGCCCUUCUCGUUGGUGUUAUGUUUAGAAAGCAAAAUUCUCGAGGAGAUGCACACAUAGCUCUCUGUAGUUGAAGGUGAGCAUAAUAACAACAGCAAAGGCAACAACUAAAGAGCUUAUUAAAUGCCAGGAACUUAAUAUUAUCUUAUUUCUUCCCCUACAAUAACCCUGCAGGUGGGCUUUGUUACUUCCAUUUAACAG
This 1542-nucleotide long non-coding RNA is filed under the name Equus caballus (horse). RNAcentral's name for it is "lncRNA (ENSECAG00000041027.2)". Lineage: Eukaryota; Metazoa; Chordata; Mammalia; Perissodactyla; Equidae. The record is from RNAcentral.